CGCCGCCCCCUCCCGAGGCCCGUUUCAGGUUGGUAAAUUCUUUCGGGGAACGAGCCUGGCAGGCUUCCUACAGCCAAGUCAUCCCGUGGAAACCGCCGCGCGGGAGCGGUCCCCGGGUGCGUUCGCCGCAGCUCCCUAGCGGGACCGGGGCCCCGAACUCAGUCACUGAGUCGCCUUCCCGGUGCAUAAAGUGGGACGCGCCGUGUUUGCUGGGACUCCAGGCCGGUGACCGCGAGCGUGUCCGUGCUAAUGGAGUCAUCAAGUGCUUAGGCAGGAGGGGCGUCGGGAGGACUCCUGAGCCUCAUAGUGAGCACGUGGCCAGGAAACCGAGGCCCGGGACGGGAAAGGACUUUGCUCUCAGACACAGCAAGUGUGCAGCGCAGGCUGGACUCCAGCGCAGGCCGGCCGGACUCCCAGCCCUGGGGGUGAGGGGUGGAAAGCUGGCAGCCCUGGGGGUGAGGGGUGGAAAGCUGGCAGCCCUGGGGGUGAGGGGUGGAAAGCUGGCAGCCCUGGGGGUGAGGGGUGGAAAGCUGGCAGCCCUGGGGGCAAGGGGUGGAAAGCUGGCUUAGCAGAGAGACGUCCCCUCCUGGCGUGGGCCACUGGGACUCUGCCUGGAUGAACCCUGGAACAAGGGAUCACAGCCCUCUGCUUUGCUCCCUCAACGCUGAUUCCUGUAUCUCUUCCCCCAUAAAAAUGUAAAAUGUUUAUUAGAGCAUUUAUUAAAGAACAUUUGGAGUUUCUUUUUCCUUUUUAUUGAGGAAAUAUAUACAUAACAUAAAAUUUACCAUGUUAACCGUUUUUAAGUGUAUAAUUAAGUGGCAUUCAGUACGUUUACUUUGUGCAACCACACCACCAUCCACCUCCAGAACUUUUCAUCUUCUAAACUGGAUAGAGUUUCUUACUUUUAAUUGUAAAGCUGAAUUGAACCUCAUGUAUAAUUGAAAACAAAAUUCCUCCCAAAUUAACCAAAAAUUCUUCCCACAUAUAGGGGAGGGGGAUUUGACCCUCAGAAAAGAAGUACAGGCCACAGGCAACCCUUUGGGGCUCAUCUUUGGCCUUGUCUUGAGCCCAAAUACGAACCUGUCUUAUGCCCAGGGCAGCUCAGAGGAAGUAGGUUGGCUCAGGGCUUUUUUAGUCUCAGGGCUGAGGGUGAGAAUACUGCAGCCAGUCCCAGCCCUCAUCUCACUCACUCUCCAGAUGUUCAGGGUCAAGUGGCAAAUCAGUUGGAGGUCAAGCCAGGCCUCCCAACUGGGCCAUUUCCUGGGCCAAGGGGCAGGUCAACACCAGGAAGCCUCUCCUUCCGGCUCAGAAAAGUCCACUCAUUUCUGCCUCUGGCCCCAGGCUAAGCACUCCUCUAUCCAUUAUCUCAUGCCCAGCCUUCUGGGGGCCAUUGGAGGCCAAGAGGGCAGGGAAUGGGAGGAAGUGGCUGAGUCAAAAUUUGAACCAAGGGCAUGGUGUUUCUCAAUGCAGGCAGCACUGGCAUUCUCAUUGAGAUGAUUCAUCAUGGGACGGGACUGUCCAUGCCUUUCAGAUGUUUGAUAUCCCUAGCCCUGCCCACUGAAUCCGAGGAGUAUCUCCCAGUCAUUGUGACACCCAAAACUAUCCCAUGUAGUAUCCUAGGGAUCAGGAGGAGGGAGACCCUACUCCUCUCACGGGGUAGGAAUUUUUGUGGUUAGUUUAGCUGCCAUGGCACACAGUGGGGCUCAAUAAAUGUGCUUCCCUUUCUUCUGGAAGCGGGUAGUUCUUGUCAGGGAGAUGUGAAACCCUUGGUCCUGGAAGCUCUGCUGUGAGGCAGGGCGCUCACCCGUGUCUCAUCUGGGACCUUGAGCAAGUCAUUUACUCUUCUCCAGCCUCUCGUCCCCACUCCAAGCUCUUGGAGCAAUCUGUACCCUCUAAAAUGAGAAGUUUGCAGUUGAAGUUUGCAGACCUGAGGAUACACUGUGUGAGGCCACAAGGGGGCAGCAAUGGGCCAUAAUGACCUUGCCCUACCCAAAGGAGCAGGAAAGGGACCUCCUCUGGUGUCUGAGGAAGGGGCCACAUGUGGCUUCUAAGAGGGUCUGCCCACCAAUCCCCCAGCAGCAUGGUGCUGCCUAGCAGACUCUGGGCCCUGACAAGCAAUUUCAGAAAGACAAUCCUGGUUGUUUAUCCCUAGGCAGAGGGCUACUCCCUCAGAGCCUGUUUCCCCACAUGUAACAUGGAAAUAGUGACAUGAAUCACAUAGGCUCCCUCCUUCAUAGGUGGGGGGAUCCAUGAGGUACCUGAGGGGAGGGAGGAGUGAAUUUACAAACUCUAGAGUGCAGUAGAUUUGUGAGGUUAUGCUGGAAUGCCCAAGGACACUUGGACAGCUUGUGAUGUCCAUCAGUCAUCACAGCCCCGCGGUGUUUCUCUUCCUUUUCACACUACUGGCUUCCCCGGUGACCAAGACGACUGGCUGAGCAGUGGGCCUGCCACUUAUCGCCAGCAAUUGAGGGAGACAGAGGAUGUGGACACUUUUCCCCUGGAAAACGUUACCACUGAUUGUGGCAGGAAGUGACACCAGAUGACUUCUGAGGCUUGGCCAUAAAAGGUGACACAGCUUCCACCUGGUUCACCAUGGAACACUCGCUCCUGGAAUUCAGCAUGAGGAGCCAGACCACGAGGGAUAGGUGUUCUGCCAUCUGACCUCCCAGCUGACAGCCAGCAUCAACCACCAGGUGUGGGAGAGCUUGAGCCACAACCAGCCCGCUGAGCCCAUUAACCCCAGAACUGAGAGAGAGGAAUAUAAAGGAUCAUUGUUUUAAGGCAA
This is a long non-coding RNA of Myotis lucifugus (little brown bat), 2785 nucleotides long. RefSeq lists it as uncharacterized. The transcript is spliced from 2 exons. NCBI's taxonomy places the organism in Eukaryota, Metazoa, Chordata, Mammalia, Chiroptera, Vespertilionidae. The record is from RefSeq and is a predicted model, not a curated record.